RNAcentral lists this ribosomal RNA (178 nucleotides) under Chloroparvula japonica. RNAcentral's name for it is "partial Bacterial large subunit ribosomal RNA". It matches the Rfam family "Bacterial large subunit ribosomal RNA", at positions 1281 to 1458 of the family's 2925-position model. Lineage: Eukaryota; Viridiplantae; Chlorophyta; Chloropicophyceae; Chloropicales; Chloropicaceae. The record is from RNAcentral.
CUCAAAAUUGAAUAUACUGGCAUGAGUAGCGAAAAAUAAUGUAAAAAACAUUAUCGUCUAACGCCCAAAGUUUCUUAUGUACAGAUAAUCUACAUAAGGUUAGUCGGACCCUUAGAUGUAAAUGUAAAUUAAAAUUGAUGGGUAUUAGAUUAAUAUUUCUAAACUACUAAAAGGUGAC